AACGAACGUUGGCGGCGUGGAUGAGGCAUGCAAGUCGAACGCGAAAGCCGCAAGGCGAGUAAAGUGGCGGACGGGCGAGUAACACGUAAUCAAGCUACCUGUGAGACGGGGAUAACUUCGGGAAACCGAAGCUAAGACCCGAUGGCCUUAGGAGACCGCAUGGUUUCCUAAGUAAAUGGGCGGGACCUUUCGGGGUCGCCUGCUCGCAGAGGUGAUUGCGGCCCAUCAGCUAGUUGGUAGGGUAAUGGCCUACCAAGGCAACGACGGGUAGCCGGCCUUAGAGGGUGGUCGGCCGCACUGGGACUGAGACACUGCCCAGACUCCUACGGGAGGCAGCAGUGGGGAAUUUUGGACAAUGGGCGCAAGCCUGAUCCAGCCAUGCCGCGUGAGUGAAGAAGGCCUC
Molecule: ribosomal RNA, 403 nt
Filed under: uncultured bacterium
Lineage: Bacteria
Description: bacterial SSU rRNA
Rfam family: Bacterial small subunit ribosomal RNA
Source: RNAcentral